AAAGACAUCAAUAUUUUUCUCUCGUGUGCUCCGCCCCUCUCCAUAGUUCGACAGAUGGCGUCGAAGAGAAGGAGAUGGAGACAACUAUGUUAUUAAUUGAAGAAGUGAUACACAAAAACCAAGUGAACUCUACGUUUUUUGUUCCACCUGGCCAGCCUCAUUUGUAAAUAGGGGGACGAGAAUUAGACCCCGAGGUCAUCUCACAAUACUGUAUGACGGCUAGGCUUCCGGAGCAGGUGCGACAUAUGGAUCGAAACACAUUUGGGCGGCUGUGUCGUUUGCUAAGGGAUAUGAGUGGGUUAGCUGAUGGUAAAUUUGUAACUGUAGAGGAGCAGGUUGCUAUGUACUUGGGCAUAUUAUCGCAUCACAAAAAUAAAAUAGGAUUGUAGGUUCAAUUUUCUUAGGUUAGGGCAGACUGUGUCGCGCUACAUCCUUGAAGUGUUGUGAGGCGUGUUAAGCCUCCAUGAGACUAAGGUCAAGCCAUGCACAGAUCCGAGGUGGAUGUGGUUUAAGGAAUGUCUUGGGGCUCUUGAUGGUACUCAUAUUAAUGUCCGCGUGAGUAUCAUAGACACGCCAAGGUACAAAACACGAAAGGGUCACAUUGCCACAACAAACACAUUAGAUGUUUGUGAAGUUAUUUGAGGUUUGUCUACGUUCUCCCCGGAUGGGAAGGUUCUGCUGGGAUUCUCGUGUUCUUUGUGACGCCGUCACUCGUGAGGAUGGUUUAAAAGUGGCCAAAGGUGACAUCAUCCAACUUUAGUUUUGUAUGAGACAUGGCUUUAUUAUAUAAACUGAAUUAUCUUCUUUGUCUAAUUUCUGUAUCUAAAUUGGGAUAUUACUUGUGCGACAACGGGUAUGAAAACAGCGAGGGUUUUUUUUUACUCCGUUCAAGGGAAUUCGCUAUCAUUUGAAGGAAUGGGGUGCUAGUAGUCAACGGCCUCAAAACGCCGAGGAGAUUUUCAACAUGAGGCACGCAACGGCUCGCAAUGUCAUCGAGCGUGCAUUUGUUGUACUCGAGAUGAGAUGGGGGAUCCUUCGAAGUGCCAGCUUCCAUCCCACUGAGACACAAGAUCGUCUAAUAAUGACUUGUUUUAUCCUUCACAACUUUAUUCUUAGUGACAUGGCAAUUGAUCCCGUGGAGCAAGAACUGAACGAGGCCAACGAUGGGGCUAACUACGUUUCGGCUAAGUUGGAAGAAACACAAUAUAUCAAUGCAGUUGAGUCCACAUCAUUAUGGAAUCUAACAAGAGUUGAUAUUGCCCAACAAAUGUGGAGGAACAUGUAGCCUUGGAAGAUUCUCGUUUUUUUACCUAGUUUCAUUAAGUUGGAUGUUGAAUUGUUUGAUCUUAUGUAGGAUUUCAAUUAUUUUUUAUCUAUGAACUGAUCUUCUUUAGGAUUUCAGUUAUGUUUUAUCUACACUGAUCUUAUGUAUC
Salvia splendens (bonfire salvia) is the source of this 1433-nucleotide long non-coding RNA. RefSeq lists it as uncharacterized. The transcript has 3 exons. Lineage: Eukaryota; Viridiplantae; Streptophyta; Magnoliopsida; Lamiales; Lamiaceae. The record is from RefSeq and is a predicted model, not a curated record.